AUGUACCACUCGUAUACUCCGGUUCUGAGCGCGCCGUCCGCACCCACCUGACGACCGCUCGCCACGUUUUGUUAGCC
RNAcentral lists this small RNA (77 nucleotides) under Xanthomonas populi. RNAcentral's name for it is "sX9 sRNA". It matches the Rfam family "Xanthomonas sRNA sX9". Lineage: Bacteria; Pseudomonadati; Pseudomonadota; Gammaproteobacteria; Lysobacterales; Lysobacteraceae. The record is from RNAcentral.